CGCACCUUGCGCCUCUUGGUAUUCCGAGAGGCAUGCCUGUUUGAGCGUCAUUAAAUUCUCAACUUCAAAAGCUUUUUGCUACUUGAAGCUUGGAUAUGGGGGUUGCCGGCUUGAUCAGAGUCAGCUCCUCUUAAAUGCAUUAGUGGAAACCGUUUGUAGUACCACAUUGGUGUGAUAAUUAUCAGCGCUAUUGUGACUACAAGCUCGUGCAAGUCGAUUGGAGAGUGCAUGAACUUGCUCUUUCUGUUCAUUUUUGACUCGCAUGAGUAGAGUAUCUGCUCAUAACCGUCCAUUUUGGACAAAUUUUGACUAUUUUGGCCUCAAAUCAGGUAGGACUACCCGCUGAACUUAA
This 352-nucleotide unclassified non-coding RNA is filed under the name Agaricales sp. RNAcentral describes it as "partial contains 5.8S ribosomal RNA, internal transcribed spacer 2, and large subunit ribosomal RNA". The record is from RNAcentral. Lineage: Eukaryota; Fungi; Basidiomycota; Agaricomycetes; Agaricales.